UCUUGCAACGCUUCACGCCUCUCUCCCUCUCCUCCCCGGCUCCCCGUGUCGACUCCUCCAGCCCGCCCUCUCCUCGGCUCCUCCUCCGACCCCCAUCGCGACCCCGAUGGCGCGCCGCCUCAUCGCCGCCCUCCUCGCGGCGUCGCUCCUUCUGCCUCUCGCCCGCCCGGACUCCUCCCCCUCCCUCCCCGCCACCGCCACCGCCACCGCGUACGACGAGCUCCGCCUCCGGGGCUUCCCGCGGGGCCUGCUCCCGGCCAACGUGCGGGGGUACACGCUCGACGCCGGGUCCGGGGAAUUCGCCGUCGACCUCCGCUCCAGCUGCCGCAUCGUGCUGCCCGCGGGGAGCUACCUCGCCGCCUUCAACGACCGCCUCACGGGGCGCCUCGGGGACCGCAGCAUCUCGGGCCUCAGCGGCAACCGCGUCAGGGCCUUCCUCCGCUGGUGGUCCAUCACGGGGAUCCGAGCCGACGGGGACCAGCUCGUCUUCGAGGUCGGCUCCGUCUCCGCCAAGUUCCCCGCGCGGGACUUCAACGCCAGCCUCGAGUGCCCCGCCAAGGCCGACUCCUGAUGCAGCACCUAGGUACCGUCAAAUGAUCAAAGGAUAUCUGCAGUAUUGUUAUGUUAUCAGUUUAGCAGGAUCCAGUUGUUUCAUUUUUUAUUACCUUUUCUUUGAGGGGCUAAUUUUUAGUAAACAUGCUAACGAGAUGAACCCUGUUUGAAGAACACGAUGCUAAGCAGUCUGAGAUACACUUCUGUUUUUUUUUAAUGAUGGCUAUUCGAAUUGUAGUGGCGACUGGUGAGAACUGUUCCAGCGAUUAAUUUUCUGUAAUGUUUAAUAGUACCUGCGGGCUGCGGCAGCGAAUCAUACUUAGAUGAUAAUUUUGGAAAAUCAUUCAUCAUCAGUCCAUGAAUUUUUGGAAGCUGCAAAGCAAUAAAUUACUGCUAACCCAGUAAGAAAUAGAAUAUCUAGCAAAUACAAGUACUACUUAUGUACCUAGUGGCUAGUGCAAGCUCAUGUGUGAACAGUAAAUCUUGCGAUGGUACUAUAGAAGAGCUUGUGCUGCAGUAGCCCAAAAGCACAAAUAUAGGCACCAGUACUUCAUUCCCUGGAAUCAAACAUUAUUCUACACUUGAUUGUCUUAGACAGCAUCAUUUCCUUGACUGACUGUUUCAUGCUACAAUGCUUCACUGGUAUAAGAAGAAAUGGAAAUACACUGAAAUGUAGAUAUAUUGUGAGGUCUGCAGGAAGCUGACUUGCUUUGAAACACUGCCAGUGGCGGUGCUAGAAAGUCUGUGGUGUCAAAUGUAGGGCCAAUCGUGUACAACUACAACAUAUACUUUGCUACAAUUUCAGUAAGAAUCAGCCUGCCUUUUUUUAAAAAAAGGGGAAAAACAUGGAAUCAUCUGACGUUAUAUCUUUUUCAAGGAUUCUGGAUGCCAAGCUUUGUGAUAUUCUUAUGACUGGUCAUUGCUACGAACUCUGAGACAGAGGAACACGUGUGCUGACAUUGCUGCACUUGAGUGUGGAAUGCAACUGCAUAGUAGGUUGAUUAAGGCUGGUUAUGGUGUGGGCUGCUUUGUGGGGAAUGCACUCCUAGCUAUGUACUUCAAAUGUGGGAACAUGGAGGAAGCUCACAAUGCAUUUGAGGAGAUGGAGGAGAGGGAUGUUGUUUCAUGGAAUACUAUGAUUGCAGGCUAUGCACGCCAUGGUUUUGGCAAGGAAGCACUUGAGGUUUUUGAUACAAUGAGGAAGACUUCUACCAAGCCAGAUGAUAUUACUUUGGUUGGAGUACUUGCAGCAUGUAGUCACUCUGGUUUGAUCGAGAAAGGCGUUUCAUACUUCUAUUCAAUGCAUCACGAUUUUGGUGUGACAGCGAAACCUGAACAUUACACCUGUAUGAUAGACCUUCUUGGACGGGCUGGAAGAUUGGAUGAAGCAGUUAGUCUUAUGAAGGACAUGCCUUUUGAGCCUGACUCUACCAUGUGGGGUGCGUUACUUGGUGCUAGUAGGAUCCACCGCAACUCUGAACUAGGCAGAAGUGCUGCUGAGAAAAUAUUUGAGUUGGAACCUGAAAAUGCUGGCAUGUAUGUCUUGCUUUCAAAUAUAUAUGCAUCCUCUGGCAAAUGGCGUGAUGUGGACAAGAUGAGAGCUAUGAUGUAUGAGCGUGGUGUGAAGAAGGUUCCAGGAUUUAGUUGGAUUGAAGUGCAGAACAAAGUCCACACUUUCUCAGUGGGUGAUUGUGUACAUCCUGAGAAAGAAGACAUAUAUGCUUUCUUGGAAGACCUGGACAUGAGGAUGAAAAAGGCAGGCUAUAUAUCUGCUACAGAUAUGGUUUUGCAUGAUGUGGAGGAGGAAGAGAAGGAACACAUGCUCAAGUAUCAUAGUGAGAAGCUUGCUGUUGCUUAUGGUAUUCUUAAAAUUCCUCCUGGGAGGCCCAUCAGGGUGAUAAAAAACCUGAGAGUAUGCGAAGACUGUCAUACUGCUUUCAAGUAUAUAUCUGCUAUUGAGGGCCAGCUGAUCAUAUUGCGGGAUUCUAACCGUUUUCACCAUUUUAGAGAUGGUUCAUGUUCAUGUGGUGAUUACUGGUAAUGAUGAGUAGAUAUACGUGCAAAGAAAUUCUAAAGGAAAUAUAGUGUACUAUGUACUAUGGUCUUGUGGAUGUCGAAAUCAUGAUCAUGCAAUGCAGACUACAGACAAACAUACUGGGCAUCCUGAUGUCUGGAUCUGGCCAUGUUAGCCACUAGGCUUUUUGUUUUAGUUCUGGUCCGAAAAGAUUAUCCUGGUGAUUUGCUAUGUUAAUUAGGGAUUUCAGUUUAUUUGUGAGUACUGAGAUCCGUACCUCCAGAUGGGAAACAUAAAAGGUUUCUACAGAGAGAACAAAUCUACGGAGUGCAUGUUCUGGUCUCACAUGAACUGUACCUGGACAGUUAUGCUAGCAUUUGUCUGUUGGAGAAACCUUGGGAAAAAAAAAGAAGCAUCCCUUGUAAUUUGUCAAUAAGUAGAGGUCAGAGGGAGAACCAUCAGGUUAGGUGUGAAGUACUGAAAAACAACAACCAUCUUGUUAUUAAUUUUCUACAGAUGAAGAAUAAAAAAGAGUUGAAACUACUUGCUUUCCUGUUAUCAGGUGCAUUGGAGUAUUCAAAGGAUGGUGCUAUUUAGUGCAACAUUAUCCAUUGACUUGAAUAUAACUGGUGUCGGCAAACCAAGCCAGAGAAUGCAACUGCAAGAAUAUAUUGUCAUGCCAUUUCUGUCAGAAUAACAUUGAUGUUAAAACGUAAAGGUUCUUCUAUCAGCUCAGGUACGCUUAUCAUGCAUCUGAUCUAGUUGUUACCAGCAAGGAGCAGGCUACUCUGUGGAUUCAUGGAGCUGAAGAUUUUUUGUUCAUUCUACUGGAUGGAUCUUCAGAGCCUGCACAUCUUUCUGUGAUUUUCAGGGAUCUGAGCUCGGCGAGACGGCGAUGGAACCUUCCUUGUCGCUUCUCGCGGCCUCCAUCUCUGCUUGGUCACUCCUGCUCCCUUCUGUCAUCGCCUCAACAGUCCUCCGGUCCCGGAGUCAAUCGCCACCUGACACUCUGACACACGAGCUCCAGUUCCUCCAUCUCUCCGAGGGCAUCGGAUUUCUUGAACGGAGAAUGCAACUUCUGUGGCAAGCCAUCCGUGGCAAGCGAGAGAAGUUUCGUUGAUAUGAAACUCACCUGUCAUAGUUAUCCAAUUCUUAGUCUUGGUAACGUGCCCUGAAACUGUGCACGAGGAUUGACCUAAGUGUCUUCUGUGGCUUCGGAAGAGUAACUAUUCAAAAGAAUAUACUCUCUGGCAGUAAGGAAAAGGAGAGUAAAUCAUCGCUCUGUUCGGCUAGUUUGUCAACUAACCAACCCAGCAGUGUUUUUCUCUCACACUAAAUCAGCACCAACCACUAGGCAACCAGCAGUACUUUUCUCUCAUAAUAAAUCAGCACCAGCCACAGUCGGCCGAACAGAGUGCAUAUCUCUAUAGAGCACACAUUAUUUUUCUACUUCUGAUGCUGGCGGUGGCACUUUCAGGACAAUGGCACACUAAUGCUGAUGAGCUAGAGGCGAGAGUCCUGGGCGGUUGUAAGGUUAUUUGCACUCGUCGUACUCUAAAUCUAUCCUCUAAAAAGAAUAUUUUAUUCUAGUCAUUUAGAUUCUCUUCUCUAUUCCUUUUUCUCAAGUACUUGUCA
Molecule: RNA transcript, 4201 nt
Organism: Panicum virgatum (switchgrass)
Lineage: Eukaryota; Viridiplantae; Streptophyta; Magnoliopsida; Poales; Poaceae
Exons: 5
Source: RefSeq, a predicted model, not a curated record